UUGUGACACUGCACUCCAGCCUGGGCAACAGAGCAAAACUCCGUUUCAAAAAAAACAAACAAACAAACUGUUAAGCUCUCUAGACCUAAAUAUGCUUAUGAAAAACACAUUUUGCUGCUAAAAAGGAAUGGGACAAUAACAAAAAAAGAGAAUUCUAGAUAAAACUUGUUAGAACAAUUUGUCUUGGGAAAUUCUGAAAUGAAAACCUUUAGUCCUUGACUAAAGAGGUUUCCAUCUUUGGAAAAUAUACCAAAUUCAAGAUAGGCUGGAAUCGAGUUGUACUGUGCAUUUGGGUCAGUAUGAGAGUCUUGUGCUGAUAAUUUGUUCCUCUCCUAAACACGGAAACGUUUUAUUAAGUCUAUCCAAAGGACUUUUGCAAUUUUCUAGUCAAAUCUCUUCCACGAAGUGUUUGAUAAACAGCCAUUGACCCUCUUCAGGGUCAAUCUGGAGGAGUAGGGAAAGGUGGGAAGUGUGGGGGAGGGUUUCCCAUGAAGAAAGCAUCUGACCUAUGUCUUAGACAUAGAGUAGGGUGCCAGUGGAUGGAGAAAGGAAUGAAGGACAUCCCUGGUUAGUUGAAUAGCACAACAUAUUGAGAGAGAUGAUUGAAACAUAUUGUGUUUGCAGAAAAUCCAGUAAUUUUAUAUUGUGGGGACAAAACUUAGGAAAAGAUGUAAUGGGGGAUAAAGAUAGGAAAUAUAUUUUGGGAAAGUGGUGAAUUUUCUGCAGGCCACCACAAGGAAUUUGAAGUUUAUUCUGAAAGCAAUGAAGAGUUCAAUCAAGCUAAUAAUGGGAAGCCUCCCACUAUUCUUGAAGUUUAAAUAAAAUUUUCUUUCCUCUGGAGACAGAUGAAUGAAUGAAUGACUAAAGGAAUCACUGCCACAAGUUUCUUUAUUUUUUUAAUGCAAAAAUAAUUUUAUUAUUCAUUGUUUCCAUUUUGCACACUGCUUGGGAAAGGGAUCCAGGAUGAAAUGACCCAUGGGGUCCAGAGGCUCCUUGUGCUGGAGAAUGAGUCUUUCAAAGAGGUAUUCACCCAGCCUGCUUGUGGAGGAGGUUAGCCAAGUGGUCAUCCAAAAGUGGCCCACACCCUCCAGGGUGACAUCUUUCCAGUGGAAAUAGAAGUCCAGAGAAAGGUGUAAGAAACCCGCGAUGCUGGGGACCUGGUGGUUAACAGUAGUGACCUACACUCUGAGUCAGAGUAAUGUGUUGCUUGUGGUGCUCAUGGUUGGUUGGUAACAAGGAACUGAUACACAUACACACACACCCCAUAACCCCAUGAAUACAACAGCAACACAAAGUAAAAGGCAUUAACUGAUCCUGGAAGCUAGGCCUUAGAUGAGAAGAUGGUCCUGGAGGUUGCUACUGGAGAGGAGAUUGGAGCGUGGUUAGAGAUGAAGGGUCAGAGUCCCCAGAGUCUGUGGCAUGCAAAUACUGUUGAAACAAACAGUGGAUCCACUGGACCAGUGCAUGUCUUGUGCCUUUGCACACUUUUUUACAUGCACGUAACCAAGGAUGGCUUCAAGAUCAUGGCCCAAUUAUUAAUCGAGAAAAAGGGAUACAUAAAGUAAGAGCAUGAUGGUGCUUAUCCUAGUGGAGACUUCUCCCUUGGUUGCCAUAGUCAUUGACUAAGCACUUCGUGGGAAUAAAUGUUCCAAUAGCAGAGACUUCCACCAUUAGCAGAACCAUCAGCUCAUAUUUAUUUCACUGCAUAUUUCACUCGAUUACUUGAAAAGACAUAUUUUUAGAGAUAAACUACACUGGGACAGAUAUCAUAACACCGUAGUUUUUUUUGCUAAUUCACAUAUAUUAUUUCUGGCCUUUCCAGAUAUAAAAUAGAAUAAUUAUGGCAAGGAUAAUUGCCACAACUUUAAAGAAAAGGAAACCCGAAUUUAAGAGGGAUUAAAUAAUUUGCUUGAGGCUACAUAAUAAGGGGAACCCAAACCCAAAAGGGACACAAACCCAAAUGUUUCCAGUUCUGAGCCCAUCAUUUUUUCUAAAACGUUACAAUAAAUCCUAAAUAUAUUUUGAUUAAAAAUUAUAAAUGUAUAUUUUGACAAAAUGUGGUCCAUCAGAACAGUGAAAGAAUGCUGUGCACAGUAGGCAAAUACGUUAAUUUUUUCCAAAUCUGUAUUGAUACAUCAGUCAAAUGCAUGUAGGAGACAAAGCAGCCUAUAAUGUUUAACACAGCCAGUGUGGAAAGACUACCUAAAAAUGCUGGGAAAAUUAUUAUUUUACUAGGAAACAUACUCUUCACCUCCAUUUGUCUUUGGAGACAUAGCACAAGAAAUUUGCCUGAGGAGCAAUUUUGUGAAGCAAAAGAUGCAGACAAAUUUUAAGGAAGCCACAAGAGGCUAGGGAAGAAAAAUGCCCAAGGAAAUGUCAAUAAAACAAAUGUAUUUAAUCUCUGAAUGGUUAUUUAAAUGGAACUUUUCUUCUACUUUGAAGCUUAAUAACAGUUUAUUGUUUUAAAAAAUCUAUCUUGAUUAUGCAUAAUGACAGGGUAUAUAUCUUUGUUCAAUUUCCCUCACUAGGCUCUGGAGGUUAAAUCACCCCCAUAUUCUUUACAAUAGUAUUUCUUGGUUCAAUUCCCCUUUCCCCACAAACAGGGACAUUCAUAGUGCCAUGUGUGUAAGAGGUACCCAUGAAAUAUGUGCUACUGAUCUGAAGUCUGACUUAGCUUUAUUAUCCUGGCAGCAACUGUAUAUGCCAUGAAAUGGACAGAGAGGAGAAGUAGCAAACAAACUCCCAGAUAAUAAAAGACUUCAUAAUUAGGCACUGAAUAGUUGAGAAAUAUUUGAAAUUAAAUAUAGUUGCCUACAAAUAUUAAGCUAAUUAGUCAUGUAUUUUUAUAACAUCCACAAUUGUUAACCACAGGCUGAAACAAGUGCUCUAUGUUAUCAUCUUUUCAUUUUAAGAAGAUUAAUCUUUCCUUUUUCUUCCUUUUUUUUUUCUUCAGCACAAUAAAGUCUUCAUAUAAGAUGGGGGUAAUAAUAGAACCUACUUUUUGGUGUAAUUUUGAAAAUCAAGUGAGAUGAUCCACUAAAAGUGCGUACCAUGUUGACAGCAAUGUCAGCGUAUUUUGUGGUAGGUUGUUCAUAUUGGAUCCUUAUCUUUACCAGGCACUGGCCUAAGUGCCUUACCUAAAUUAUCUCUUUUUAUCUUGACCCGCUUAUUUUGGAUAGGGUUCAUGGUCACAGAGCUAAUUAAUGUUAAUGACAAUAUUUGAUCCUAUGUUGUCUCAUUUUAGUUUCUUAAUUCUUAAUACCAUAGUGCUUCUCAGUUUGGAUAUCUGUGACUUGUUCUACUUUCUCUUUGUAAGCAGCAAGCUCAGCUCUGCUGUGUUUUAUAACAGUGUUUUAUAACAUGAUUUUCAGAUGUAGAAAACACUUAGAUCCUUCGAGUUACUUGAGUGAAGUCCUUCAGCAAUAAAUCAUCAAUGCAAAUAUCUCACAUUAAUGUUAAAAUUUGAUAUGGUUUGGCUCUGCAUCCCCACCCAAAUCUCACCUUAAAUUGUAAUCCCCAUGUGUCAAGGGAGGGACCUGGUGGGAGGUGAUUUGAUCAUGGGGGUGAUUUCCCCCAUGCUGUUCUUGUAAUAGUGAGUGAGUUCUCAUGACAGCUGAUGGUUUAAACAUGUUUGGCAAUACCCCCUCUCCCUUUUGCCACCUUGUGAAGAAGGUGCUUGCUUCCCCUUUGCGUUCUGCCAUGACUGUGAGUUUCCAGAGGUCUCCCCAGCCAUGUGGAACUGUGAGUCAGUUAAACCUCUUUCCUUUAUAAAUUUCCUAGUCUCAAGUAGAUCUUUAUAGCAGUGUGAAAAUGGACUAGUACAGAAAAUUUAUGCUGGGAGUUUGGGGCACUGCUAAGAAAAUAUCUGAAAAUGUAGAAGUGACUUUAGAACUGGGUAACGGGUAGAGAUUGGAACAGUUUGAAGGACUCAGAAGAAGACAGAAAAAUGUGGGAAAGUUUGGAACUUCCUAGAGACUUGUUGAAUGGUUUUGACCAAAAUGCUGAUAGUGAUAUGAACAAUAAAGUCUAGACUGAGGUGGUCUCAGAUGGAGAUGAGGAACUUACUGGGAACUGGAGCGAAUGUCACUCUUGAUAUACUUUAGCAAAGAGACUGGCAGCAUUUUGCCCCUGCUCUAGAGAUCUGUGGAACUUUGAACAUGAGAGAGAUGAUUUAGGGUAUCUGGCAGAAGAAAUUUCUAAGCAUUGCAUUCAAGGUGUGACCUGGUUGUUUCUAAAAGCAUAUGGUCACAUGCAUUUACAAAGAUGAUCUGAAAUUGGAACUUAUAUCUAGAAGGGAAGUGGAGCAUAAAAGUUUGGAAAAUUUGCAGCAGACCAUGUGGUAUAACAUAAAAACCCAUUUUCUGGGGAGAAAUUCAAUCUGGCUGCAGAAAUUUGCAUAAGUAAUGAGGAGCUGAAUGGAAACCACCAAGACAAUGGGGAAUAUGUCUCCAGGACAUUUCAGAGACCUUCAGAUAGCCCCUCUCAUAACAGGCUUGGGGGUCUAGGAGGGAAAAAUGGUUUCCUGGGCCAGGGACAGGCCCAGGGCCCUGCUGCUCUUUGCAGCUUCGGGACAUUGUGCCCUGUACCCCAGCCACUCCACCUCUUGGCCAUGACUAAAAGGGGCCAAGGUAUAGCUUGGGCUGUUGCUUCAGAGGGUGCAAGCCCCAAGCCUUGGUGGCUUUCAUAUGGUGUUGUGCCUGUGGGUGUGCAGAAGACAAGAGUUGAGCUUUGGGAACCUCUGCCUCAAUUUCAGAGGAUGUAUGGAAACACCUGGAUGUCCAGGCAGAAGUCUGCUGCAUGGGAGGAGCCUACAUGGAGAACCUCUACUAUGGCAAGGCAUAGGGGAAAUGUGGGGUUGGAGUCCCCACACAGAGUCCCCACUGGGGCACUACCUAGUGGAGCUGUGAAAAGAGGACCACUGUCCUCCAGACCCUUGAAAUGCAGAUCCACUGACAGCUUGCAUUGUGCACCUGGAAAUGCAGGCACUCAAGGCCAGCCCAUGAAAGCAGCUGCAGGGGCUGCACCCUGCAGGGCCACAGGAGUGGAGCUGCCCAACUCCUUGAAAGACCACCCUUUCCUUGUAUCAUCAUGCCUUGGAUGUGAGACAUGGAGUCAAGGGAGAUCAUUUCAGAGCUUUAAUAUUUAAUGACUGCCCCACUGGGUUUUGGACUUGCAUGGGGCCUAUGGCCCCUUUUAUUGGUCUAUUUCUCCCAUUUGUAAUGGGAGAACUUACCUAAUUCUUGUACUUUUAUUGUAUCUUGGAAGUAACUUACUUGCUUUUGAUUUUAUGUGCUCAUAGGUGGAAAGGGACUUGCCUUGUCUCAGGCGAGACUUUGGACUUAUACUUUUGGGUUAACGCUGGAAUGAGUUUAGACUUUGGGGGACUGUUGGAAAGCAUGAUUGUAUUCUGAAAUGUGAGAAAGACAUGAGAUUUGGGAGGAACCAGAGAUGGAAAUGAUAUGGUUUGGCUCUGUGUCCCCACCUAAAUGUCAUCUCUAAUUGUAAUCCUCAUGUGUUGAGGGAAGGUCCUGGUGGGUGGUGAUUAGAUCAUAGGGGCGGUUUCCCCUAUGCUGUUCUCAUGAUAAUGAGUGAGUUCUCAAGAUCUGAUGGUUUAAAAGUGUUUGGCAGAUCCCCACCACCACCACCACCUCUUCUGCUGCCUUGUAAAGAAGGUACUUGCUUGCCUUUUACCUUCCACCAUGAUUGUAAGUUUCCUGAGGCCUCCCCAGCCUUUUUUCUUUAUAAAUUACCCAGUCUCAAGUAGCUCUUUAUAGCAGUGUGAAAAUGGACAAAUACAAAAUUCAUUAAAAUACCUCCAAAUUUAAUAUGGAAUUAUGUUUACAUUUAAGUUAUCAAUAUCAAAAGCUCUAUCAGUUGUCAAUAAAUAUAACUGGGAAUGUCCUAGAAGUAAAUGGUUACCCUUUUUCCUUCAUUGCUGCAACAAGAAACAUUGUUCUGGUGGAACAUUUCACAAAAUUAUGAAUGUUUUGAAAGAAAGAAAUAUGAAAUCCCUUGGAUUUUACUAAUAUACACAGUUCUCAUAAUAUACAACUUAUUUACCAUGCUGGAGAAAUAGCAACCAUAAAAACAGCUGCAAUUAAAAUGUUACUAAAGCUUUUGUACAAAUGGUAGAUUAUUAAAAACAAAAUGUUAUACCGAUAAUUUAAGGGACAAUAUUGAGUUUCUGUAUUUUUCCCUUUAAAGGCUGUAGGUUUAUGCUUGACUAAUCCUUUUGACAGUAUCCCUGGCAAUAAUAUUUUUUGAAGUAGUUGGUGUUCAAUAUUUGUAAUUUCAUGUUUCCCAACAGUCUGUUUUUCCUUGUUUAUUUAAAUAAAAAACUGUAAAACAGCCACGGGAAAAUCGAAGAAAUAUAAAAUCUAUCACAGUUUAAGUAAUGUGUCUGUGUCAAAGUAAAGAGUUAUGUCUGAGGACACAACUGUCUCAUUCAGAGGACUACUGUAAUUUAAAGAGAAUAUUUUAUUCUACUGAAAGUCAUAUGGAUUAUAUAAAUCCUGCAUCCUGCACCUAGCACCGAAUCCCAGCUGUUAACAUAAUAUUUAGCUGCUAGUCUAACGCUAUUAACACCUAGGAGGAUCUCAAAAAAUAUUUAUUGAAUGUAUAAAUUCUGGCUACUUAACAGAAACACUGUAGAUGUGUGUGUGUGUGUGAGAGAGAGAAAGUGUGUGUGUGUGUGUGUGUAAGUGUAUGUGUAUGUGCGGUUUUUAGAUGGGAAAGACUAAUUUAUACACCAUCAAAUGAAAAAAUAAGGUUUUUAAAAAAGGCUUCCGUGGCAAAGGCUUUGAAAGUAAAAGGUUAUAAGCAGUUUAGAAUCCAAACAUGAGUAUAAAAGGUAAGUGUGAAUGAUAAGUUCAUACAGUGUAACUGUCUUUUAAUGUCCUCUAUUUGGAUACUUUAUUUUGUAGACAUUGUUGCCUUAAGAUAUUUGUUGAAGUAUGAAUUUUCUGGAUAAAAUUUAAUGUAAUUUUUAAAAAAAGUAACGAUGCUCAAUUACAUUGUUUAAACAAGUUUGAACUAGGAAAUAUGUUAUACAAGGAUACAUAUUUUCUCUCAAGACUUCACAUAUCUGAGCAUUUUGCAAUUUCUAUAGAAAACAUCAUCUUGUAUGAGGAGAGAGGGCAUUUUAAACUGCAUAGGCAAUUCCAUCUAGUUUUAAAUAGGUUGUGUUUUAGAAGUUUAUUUGAAAGUUAAUUUUUUGGAAGUUAUAACCUAUUUUCUUGUGGAAGCAAUGUGAGAAAUAGGACUUGGAUUCCCAGGAUGCCAGAUGGUGUCAUGGCUUGUCCAAGCAAUUUAAUGUAAAAGCUAGUGCUCUGGAGGAAGAAAGAUCAGUAUUCAAAUUUCCAACUCUCUAAAUAUUAGUUUCCUUCACUAUAAAAUUGUGCUAAUUAUAGCACACACUUCAUUGCAUCUAUGUGGAUUAAAUGAGGUAAUGUAUUAUUAAGUAAACUGCAGUAUUACUCAAUUUUUUCAAGGAAGCCAUUGUUAGCUAUGAUUGUCACAAAUCCUGUUAAAAUCCACAUUCCCAUUCUAUUUUUAAUAUCUUUAUUGUAUCCUUUCCCUUUGGGGACCCAGAUAUUGACAAUGUUUAAAAAUUAUCCACAAAAUUCUCUGCUGUGCCAGGUAAGACUUCAUGCCUUUCCUUAUGUUCUUUUCUCAGCUGGAAAUGAAUCCAUCUACUUUUUGCAUUCAGGUCCCAGCUCAAAUUGCUACUUCCUCAAAAGACAUUUUUCCUAUAUGGAGAACCGUUAAGAAAAAUUCAAAUGUUGGAGAAGUGCUAAAUGCUAAGCAGAAGUAGUUUUAGAGCUUAAAAAGGCCUUUAGAUUUGUUGGUUUUGUCUGCUUUUAGGGGUGGGUGAAGCAGGUAGUCAGUGUAACAGUGGAUCCUGGAUUAGUAAAGCAUCUAACACAGAAGAAUGAAGUUACAUGGAAAUCAAGCUGAAGCUAUGUGAUGCAUAGAACUAAGCCAUAUAUGGGCAGACACAUGCUCCAGUUCAUUGUUAUAAUCAUGCCAUCUAGUACAGGGCUAGCUGUUCAUUAACUGACUUGGUUACUUGUUUAAACAGGAGAGAUGGAAGGAUGAAGGGAGAAAAUGGAAAAUUAAGUUGUAUGGAAAUCCAAAAGUCUGUAUUAAACUAUACUCACUGAAAUAAAAUGUCACCAAAGGUAAUGAUUCUACAUAAAGUAAAACCACCUGCUUGGUGCCUCUGUUUUAUUCUCUGACCUGUGUUCAUCUUUUACCUGUUUGUUUUCGACCUAAACAGAUACACGUGUGUAAGACAGACUGAAGAAAUAAAACAAGAUGCAGAAUUUAUGCAGUCUCAGAAUAAGGCAUAUAAAUAUAAAUAAUAUUUAAUAGUUAUUUUAUGUUAUAUAUUAUAUUAAUAGCAUAUUAUAAAUUAAUACAUUAUAAUAUUAAUAUAUUAAUAAUAUAAUAUAGGAAUCAUAUAAUGAUGUAAAAAUGGGGAACUAUCAAUAAAUAUUAAAAAGUUGGCUGAAGUGCAUUAGAGACAAUUUAAAACAAAACAAGUUAUUAAAGAAAGAUACUGUGGAAAGUGAGCUGUACUGGCAAGAUUGCUGAAUUUUUCAAAUUUCUU
Molecule: long non-coding RNA, 8611 nt
Filed under: Homo sapiens (human)
Lineage: Eukaryota; Metazoa; Chordata; Mammalia; Primates; Hominidae
Description: long non-coding RNA NONHSAT202565.1
Source: RNAcentral